This 29-nucleotide ribosomal RNA is filed under the name Cantharellus camphoratus. RNAcentral describes it as "partial 5.8S ribosomal RNA". The record is from RNAcentral. Lineage: Eukaryota; Fungi; Basidiomycota; Agaricomycetes; Cantharellales; Hydnaceae.
CAAGGGUAUCUCUGGCUGAGGGUAAUGAA